RNAcentral lists this transfer RNA (70 nucleotides) under Dipodomys ordii (Ord's kangaroo rat). It matches the Rfam family "tRNA". From Rfam's summary of the family: Transfer RNA (tRNA) molecules are approximately 80 nucleotides in length. Their secondary structure includes four short double-helical elements and three loops (D, anti-codon, and T loops). Lineage: Eukaryota; Metazoa; Chordata; Mammalia; Rodentia; Heteromyidae. The record is from Rfam by way of RNAcentral.
GGGAAUGUGGCUUAGUGGUAGAGUGCUUGUCUGGCAUGCAUGAAGCCCUGGGUUCAAUUCCUCAGUACCA